RNAcentral lists this ribosomal RNA (1614 nucleotides) under Triticum aestivum (bread wheat). RNAcentral describes it as "partial small subunit ribosomal RNA". The record is from RNAcentral. Lineage: Eukaryota; Viridiplantae; Streptophyta; Magnoliopsida; Poales; Poaceae.
ACAGCAGCAGCGGUAGGCGGGCGCACCGCUCUCCGCGCAGCUAGAUUCGGCGCACCUGUCGCCGUCCGGAAGCCCCGCUACCCCGGCGAGAGCUCAACGGGGAGAAGCCAUUUGACUUGCCGCGCAAUACUAUAUCUAUAUUACGCCCCCGCCAGGGGACAGACCCAGAGGUUGAGAGUUGAGACGCAAAGACAAAGGAGAGCCGUGUCGCCGACGAGGACGGACGGAGCAGCCGGCCGAAAGAUCUUUCUCUUCCCCCUUCCUUCCGGCCAAAGCAGCACCGCAGGCGGCAGGGUUGGACACUCCAUCGUCUUCGCCUCAGGUCAGUCCGAUUGCUUGCUUGCUGUUUUCGUGCUGGUUAUGCGUUUGCGUGUUGCGCCGGCGCGGCGUGCCCGAUCGAUCGGCUUGGCUGUGGCCUGUAGAGUGCAAGAUCUCUUCUCUCGCCGGCGCGGCGUGCCCGAUCGAUCGGCUUGGCUUCCGCCUCCCGCCGCCGGAGCCGGACAAGCAGCGGAUGGGCUGCGUGUUGUCAUCGCCGAGGCGGUCCAGGCGCACGCCGGGGUACGAGGAGCCCACCGUCCUCGCCUCCCAGACCUCCUUCACGGUGAACGAGGUGGAGGCGCUGUACGAGCUCUACAAGAAGCUCAGCUACUCCAUCUUCAAGGACGGCCUCAUCCACAAGGAGGAGUUCCGGCUGGCGCUGUUCAGGACCAGCAAAGGGGCGAACCUCUUCGCGGACAGGGUGUUCGACCUCUUCGAUCUCAAGCGCAACGGGGUCAUCGAGUUCGGCGAGUUCGUGCGCUCGCUCAGCAUCUUCCACCCCAAAGCGCCUGAAUCGGACAAGACCGCGUUUGCAUUCAAGUUGUAUGAUUUGAGGGGGACAGGCUACAUCGAGAAAGAAGAGCUCCGGGAGAUGGUGGUGGCACUCCUCGACGAGUCCGACCUGUGCCUCUCCGACAGCGCCGUCGAGGAGAUCGUCGACAAUACGUUCAGUCAAGCAGACUCGAAUGGCGACGACAGGAUAGACCCCAAGGAGUGGGAGGAGUUCGUCAAGAAGAACCCGGCAUCACUCAGGAACAUGUCACUGCCCUAUCUCCAGGACAUUACGACGGCGUUUCCGAGCUUUGUGAUGCAUUCGGAAGUCGACGAUUACAGUGGAAUCAGCAAAUAAUAGCCGUGCCUGCCUGCCUGCCUGCCUCAUGACCCGUCCCCGGCCAUGUAUGAAUAUGCUCUUGGGACUGGGAGGCCGUGCAUUCAGAAGUGCGUGAGCUGCAACCGGAAGGCCUGGAGCUCGAAUGGGAGGAGAACGCAAGGGAGCCAAUCUGCCGGUGAGCGUGACUGCGUGAGAUGAUGACCACCGGACGAUGACUUCAUCCCAUGCGAGAUAGGCAUCAGAUCAGACUGUCUGAGGUUAACUAAGAAAUGGGCUUUUUUUGUACCUCCGUAGUAAGUACGAGAGGUUAUCAAAACACCGAUCGAGCAGGUGACUAGGCAGUGACGAGUGUCUAGCGUAGGUUGUUGUAGUAAAAUCGCUAAUUGGACUUGUAAAACUUGUCUUCCGUUGACUUGUAAAACAAACGAUGUCAGCAUUGUUUUCGGCAAUAUAUGAUAAUCCCC